RNAcentral lists this transfer RNA (73 nucleotides) under Ictidomys tridecemlineatus (thirteen-lined ground squirrel). RNAcentral describes it as "Spermophilus tridecemlineatus (thirteen-lined ground squirrel) tRNA". It matches the Rfam family "tRNA". Rfam says of the family: Transfer RNA (tRNA) molecules are approximately 80 nucleotides in length. Their secondary structure includes four short double-helical elements and three loops (D, anti-codon, and T loops). Further hydrogen bonds mediate the characteristic L-shaped molecular structure. tRNAs have two regions of fundamental functional importance: the anti-codon, which is responsible for specific mRNA codon recognition, and the 3' end, to which the tRNAs corresponding amino acid is attached (by aminoacyl-tRNA synthetases). tRNAs cope with the degeneracy of the genetic code in two manners: having more than one tRNA (with a specific anti-codon) for a particular amino acid; and 'wobble' base-pairing, i.e. permitting non-standard base-pairing at the 3rd anti-codon position. Lineage: Eukaryota; Metazoa; Chordata; Mammalia; Rodentia; Sciuridae. RNAcentral also lists the same sequence under 1 other name. The record is from Rfam by way of RNAcentral.
GGGGAUAUAGCUCAAUUGGUAGAGUGCUUGCCUCACAUGUACAAGGCCCUGGGUUCAAUCCCCAGCAUCACAA